Molecule: ribosomal RNA, 715 nt
Filed under: uncultured beta proteobacterium
Lineage: Bacteria; Pseudomonadati; Pseudomonadota; Betaproteobacteria
Description: bacterial SSU rRNA
Rfam family: Bacterial small subunit ribosomal RNA
Source: RNAcentral
GAACGGUAACAGGUCUUCGGAUGCUGACGAGUGGCGAACGGGUGAGUAAUACAUCGGAACGUGCCUAGUAGUGGGGGAUAACUACUCGAAAGAGUAGCUAAUACCGCAUGAGAUCUACGGAUGAAAGCAGGGGACCUUCGGGCCUUGUGCUACUAGAGCGGCUGAUGGCAGAUUAGGUAGUUGGUGGGGUAAAAGCUUACCAAGCCUGCGAUCUGUAGCUGGUCUGAGAGGACGACCAGCCACACUGGGACUGAGACACGGCCCAGACUCCUACGGGAGGCAGCAGUGGGGAAUUUUGGACAAUGGGCGAAAGCCUGAUCCAGCAAUGCCGCGUGCAGGAUGAAGGCCCUCGGGUUGUAAACUGCUUUUGUACGGAACGAAAAGCCUGGGGCUAAUAUCCCCGGGUCAUGACGGUACCGUAAGAAUAAGCACCGGCUAACUACGUGCCAGCAGCCGCGGUAAUACGUAGGGUGCAAGCGUUAAUCGGAAUUACUGGGCGUAAAGCGUGCGCAGGCGGUUUUGUAAGACAGUGGUGAAAUCCCCGGGCUCAACCUGGGAACUGCCAUUGUGACUGCAAGGCUAGAGUGCGGCAGAGGGGGAUGGAAUUCCGCGUGUAGCAGUGAAAUGCGUAGAUAUGCGGAGGAACACCGAUGGCGAAGGCAAUCCCCUGGGCCUGCACUGACGCUCAUGCACGAAAGCGUGGGGAGCAAACAGG